GAGUUGUUGCUGGCCCCUCAACGGGGGGCAUGUGCACGCUCUGUUAACACAUCCACUCACACCUGUGCACACUCCGUAGUUCUAUGGUCUGGGGGACGCACCGUCUUCCUCCUGUGGUUCUACGUCUUUACACAUACACCGUACUAAAGUCUUAGGAAUGUUUACCGCGUCUAACGCAAUACAAUACAACUUUCAGCAACGGAUCUCUUGGCUCUCGCAUCGAUGAAGAACGCAGCGAAAUGCGAUAAGUAAUGUGAAUUGCAGAAUUCAGUGAAUCAUCGAAUCUUUGAACGCACCUUGCGCCCCUUGGCUAUUCCGAGGGGCAUGCCUGUUUGAGUAUCAUGAACACCUCAACUCUUGUGGUUCACCAUAAAGAGCUUGGACUUGGGGGUUUGCUGGCAUACAGCCAGCUCCUCUCAAACAAAUUAGCCUGCCAGUGUUUGGUGGCAUCACGGGUGUGAUAACUAUCUACGCUUGUGGUUGCCUGCCAGGUAACCUUUGGUGACGAAGGUUCGCUGGAGCUUAUAAAUGUCUCUCCUUGGCGAAGACAGCUUUUUGAACGUUCGAUCUCAAAUCAGGUAGGACUACCCGCUGAACUUAAGCAUAUC
Molecule: ribosomal RNA, 608 nt
Filed under: Tomentella sp. YM2257
Lineage: Eukaryota; Fungi; Basidiomycota; Agaricomycetes; Thelephorales; Thelephoraceae
Description: eukaryotic LSU rRNA
Rfam family: 5.8S ribosomal RNA (bases 188-342)
Source: RNAcentral